GUGCCAGCAGCCGCGGUAAUACGUAGGGGGCAAGCGUUGUCCGGAUUUAUUGGGCGUAAAGAGCGUGUAGGCGGCCAUGUAGGUCCGUUGUGAAAACUCGAGGCUCAACCUCGAGACGCCGAUGGAAACCAUGUGGCUAGAGUCCGGAAGAGGAGAGUGGAAUUCCUGGUGUAGCGGUGAAAUGCGCAGAUAUCAGGAAGAACACCCGUGGCUAAGGCGGCUCUCUAGUACGGUACUGACGCUGAGACGCGAAAGCGUGGGGAGCGAACAGGAUUAGAUACCCUGGUAGUCCACGCCGUAAACGUUGGGAACUAGGUGUGGGCUCCAUUCCACGGAGUCUGUGCCGCAGCUAACGCAUUAAGUUCCCCGCCUGGGGAGUACGGCCGCAAGGCUAAA
This 396-nucleotide ribosomal RNA is filed under the name uncultured bacterium. Its description in RNAcentral is "bacterial SSU rRNA". It matches the Rfam family "Bacterial small subunit ribosomal RNA", at positions 505 to 898 of the family's 1533-position model. The record is from RNAcentral.